This is a long non-coding RNA of Hylaeus volcanicus, 362 nucleotides long. RefSeq lists it as uncharacterized. The record is from RefSeq and is a predicted model, not a curated record. The transcript is spliced from 3 exons. Lineage: Eukaryota; Metazoa; Arthropoda; Insecta; Hymenoptera; Colletidae.
GGAACUCAGUAGCCUCUUUCAGGAAAGUUAAACCUGGAUGAGUCUCGACCACGUCUUGCACCAGUGGGAUUAAAUCCUCGGGGAGUAUAUUGUUCCUGAGGCCUCGGGUUGUGAUUCUGAUAAACUUGCUCGCUGCGUCGUGAAGUCAAGGAAGGCGUUCAUCUCGACGUAUCCGAUCUGGUCGCCUCCAGCCGCGAGAAAGAGUGGCACCUUCCAGUAAAGGGCCAGCCUAUUCGUUCCACGGCGGAGUGGUUCGAGGUCGAAUCAAUGGAGGGCAAGCGACAGAGGACAAACGGAGGAAAUUGUGUUCGUGGAAGUUUUAACGAGCCUCGUUGUACCAUUACCUUGGUGAUCGCGUGAAA